CGCCCUUUGAGUUUGAUCCUGGCUCAGAUUGAACGCUGGCGGUAUGCUUAACACAUGCAAGUCGAACGCGGAAACGAAGAUAGCUUGCUAUCAGGCGUCGAGCGGCGGACGGGUGAGUAACGCGUAGGAAUCUACCUAGUAGUGGGGGAUAGCCCAGAGAAAUUUGGAUUAAUACCGCAUACGCCCUAUGGGGGAAAGCAGGGGAUCUUCGGACCUUGCGCUAUUAGAUGAGCCUGCGUGAGAUUAGCUAGUUGGUGAGGUAAAGGCUCACCAAGGCGACGAUCUCUAGCUGGUCUGAGAGGAUGAUCAGCCACACUGGGACUGAGACACGGCCCAGACUCCUACGGGAGGCAGCAGUGGGGAAUAUUGGACAAUGGGGGCAACCCUGAUCCAGCCAUGCCGCGUGUGUGAAGAAGGCCUUAGGGUUGUAAAGCACUUUCAGUAGGGAGGAAAGGGUAAUGGUUAAUACCCAUUAUCUGUGACGUUACCCACAGAAGAAGGACCGGCUAACUCCGUGCCAGCAGCCGCGGUAAUACGGAGGGUCCGAGCGUUAAUCGGAAUGACUGGGCGUAAAGCGCACGCAGGCGGUUUGUUAAGCUAGAUGUGAAAGCCCCGGGCUCAACCUGGGAAUAGCAUUUAAACUGUCAGGCUAGAGUAUGGUAGAGGGGAGUGGAAUUUCUGGUGUAGCGGUGAAAUGCGUAGAUAUCAGAAGGAACAUCAGUGGCGAAGGCGACUCCCUGGCCAAAGACUGACGCUCAUGUGCGAAAGUGUGGGUAGCGAACAGGAUUAGAUACCCUGGUAGUCCACACCGUAAACGAUGUCUACUAGCUGUUUGUGGAUUUAAUCCGUGAGUAGCGCAGCUAACGCGAUAAGUAGACCGCCUGGGGAGUACGGCCGCAAGGUUAAAACUCAAAUGAAUUGACGGGGGCCCGCACAAGCGGUGGAGCAUGUGGUUUAAUUCGAUGCAACGCGAAGAACCUUACCUACUCUUGACAUCCAGUGAACAUUGCAGAGAUGCAUUGGUGCCUUCGGGAACUGAGUGACAGGUGCUGCAUGGCUGUCGUCAGCUCGUGUCGUGAGAUGUUCGGUUAAGUCCGGCAACGAGCGCAACCCACGUCCUUAGUUGCCAGCAGUUCGGCUGGGCACUCUAAGGAAACUGCCGGUGAUAAGCCGGAGGAAGGUGUGGAUGACGUCAAGUCCUCAUGGCCCUUACGGGUUGGGCUACACACGUGCUACAAUGGCAGUGACAAUGGGUUAAUCCCAAAAAACUGUCUCAGUUCGGAUUGGGGUCUGCAACUCGACCCCAUGAAGUUGGAAUCGCUAGUAAUCGCGUAACAGCAUGACGCGGUGAAUACGUUCCCGGGCCUUGUACACACCGCCCGUCACACCAUGGGAGUUGAUUGCACCAGAAGUAGCUAGCUUAACCUUCGGGAGGGCGGUUACACGGUGGGGUUCAUGACUGGGGUGAAGUCGUAACAAGGUAAC
This 1485-nucleotide ribosomal RNA is filed under the name uncultured prokaryote. RNAcentral's name for it is "partial 16S ribosomal RNA". It matches the Rfam family "Bacterial small subunit ribosomal RNA". The record is from RNAcentral.